UACGAAGGGGGCUAGCGUUGCUCGGAAUCACUGGGCGUAAAGGGUGCGUAGGCCGCACGGUAAGUCAGAGGUGAAAUCCCGGAGCUCAACUCCGGAAUUGCCUCCGAUACUGCCGUGCUUGAGGACUGGAGAGGAGAUUGGAAUUCACAGUGGAGCAGUGAAAUGCGUAGAUAUUGUGAGGAACACUAGUGGCGAAGGCGAAUCUCUGGACAGUUCCUGACGCUGAGGCACGAAGGCCAGGGGAGCAAACGGG
This 253-nucleotide ribosomal RNA is filed under the name uncultured bacterium. Its description in RNAcentral is "partial 16S ribosomal RNA". It matches the Rfam family "Bacterial small subunit ribosomal RNA", at positions 524 to 776 of the family's 1533-position model. The record is from RNAcentral.